AAAAAUUGAACUCAGGCAAAUAACGCCGCGUCCUACGGCAACGAUUGCAUGACCCACGUUCUAUGGG
RNAcentral lists this small RNA (67 nucleotides) under Psychrobacillus sp. OK032. Its description in RNAcentral is "Bacillaceae-1 RNA". It matches the Rfam family "Bacillaceae-1 RNA". The record is from RNAcentral. Lineage: Bacteria; Bacillati; Bacillota; Bacilli; Caryophanales; Bacillaceae.